Molecule: long non-coding RNA, 485 nt
Organism: Ailuropoda melanoleuca (giant panda)
Lineage: Eukaryota; Metazoa; Chordata; Mammalia; Carnivora; Ursidae
Exons: 3
Source: RefSeq, a predicted model, not a curated record
CGCUUAACCGCUGUGCCACCCAGGCGCCCCCCAAAGGAAUUUUUAUGUGUUAAAGUAAACUUACAGGACCCUGGGGGUCGGGAUAAGAUUGCCUCUUGCCCUCAGCAAAGUGUUAACAUCGAGGCAGCUGAGUUCCUGGAGGAAGGUCGCUCUGCCUGUUUCAAGGACUUGUCAAUGGACUGACACCCGCGGAAGAUGCAGCGGCUUCCCUUUGCCACCUGCCCCCUGCCACCUGCCUAACCCGGACAUCUACCCUGCCCUUCGCUCUUGGUUUCCCGCAGCUCUUAAGAAGGCCUGCUGGCGUCAUGUUCCAUACGUGGCUGAAGUUAGCCCUUGGCAGUCCCAUGUUCCCAAAGCGCUUACGGAAAGCCACCGCAGAUCUGUGAGGCUGGACCUCUUGUCAGGUUCUGUAGGCGAAGAAACACAAAGGCCUCGUUCUUUUGUCUGGAUGUGAGGAACAAACAGAAAGUGAUCGGGAAGCUAAU